UACGGAGGGUGCAAGCGUUAUUCGGAAUUACUGGGCGUAAAGCGCGUGUAGGCGGUUUGACAAGUCUGGUGUGAAAGCCCCGGACUCAAUUCGGGAAGUGCAUUGGAUACUGUCAAACUGGAGUACAGGAGAGGAGAGUGGAAGUCCUGGUGUAGAGGUGAAAUUCGUAGAUAUCAGGAGGAACAACAGUGGCGAAGGCGACUCUCUGGACUGUAACUGACGCUAAGGCGCGAAAGCGUGGGGAGCAAACAGG
Molecule: ribosomal RNA, 253 nt
Filed under: uncultured bacterium
Lineage: Bacteria
Description: partial 16S ribosomal RNA
Rfam family: Bacterial small subunit ribosomal RNA
Source: RNAcentral